UGUGCCAGCAGCCGCGGUAAUACGUAGGUGGCAAGCGUUAUCCGGAAUUAUUGGGCGUAAAGCGCGCGUAGGCGGUUUUUUAAGUCUGAUGUGAAAGCCCACGGCUCAACCGUGGGGGGUCAUUGGAAACUGGAAAACUUGAGUGCAGAAGAGGAAAGUGGAAUUCCAUGUGUAGCGGUGAAAUGCGCAGAGAUAUGGAGGAACACCAGUGGCGAAGGCGACUUUCUGGUCUGUAACUGACGCUGAUGUGCGAAAGCGUGGGGAUCAAACAGGAUUAGAUACCCUGGUAGUCCACGCCGUAAACGAUGAGUGCUAAGUGUUAGGGGGUUUCCGCCCUUUAGUGCUGCAGCUAACGCAUUAAGC
RNAcentral lists this ribosomal RNA (363 nucleotides) under uncultured bacterium. Its description in RNAcentral is "bacterial SSU rRNA". It matches the Rfam family "Bacterial small subunit ribosomal RNA", at positions 504 to 865 of the family's 1533-position model. The record is from RNAcentral.